UAAGUUUAUGAUCCCAGGCUUUGUCUUACCUCUGAAUGCUCGUAUUGAAAUUGAAAAUGAAUGUACAGCACUUAGGGAAAUGGUAAGUAAGCAACAACACACGAUUCAGGAUUUAGGUGCUGAGUUGGAGGAAGAACGAAAUGCGUCUUCCUCGGCAGCGAAUGAGGCCAUGUCCAUGAUUUUGAGGCUGCAAGGAGAAAAGGCAGAGGUUCAGAUGGAAUUUAAACAAUUCAAGAGGUACACUGAGGAGAAAACGGCGCAUGAUCAGCAGGAGAUUAUGGCGUUGGAGGAUAUAUUAUACAAGAGGGAGCAAACAAUUCAAUCGCUGACUUGUGAGGUGCAAAUGUAUAAGCAUAGAAUGAUGAGUUAUGGGCUAACAGAAUCUGAGGCUGAGGGUGAUUGUGAGACAGAAAAGGGCCGUUUUAG
RNAcentral lists this unclassified non-coding RNA (426 nucleotides) under Hevea brasiliensis (rubber tree). The record is from RNAcentral. Lineage: Eukaryota; Viridiplantae; Streptophyta; Magnoliopsida; Malpighiales; Euphorbiaceae.